AGUGCUGGGCAUUGCCGGCAAACGUCUCGCAGCGGCUGAGGUUCUCCUCCUGCACCGGGCUGCCCACGUUCUCCUCGCUUGGCCCCGAGGCCGCUGCGCCCUCCUGGGAGUUCUGGCUAAGAUCUUCCAGGAUAAAAAGGAAAGUGUAAAUGCUGCCAGCUACUAAUUGCUGUUGAUUCACUCCUUUGUCUCAGAGGAUCUGAGCAGCUGCCAAGGCAGGAGGCUGCACAAAAAAAAUGAUGAGACAAAAGAGGAACUUCCUGAUCAGAAAGAAGAUUUUGUAGGGCUCGAGUCUCAUGUACAUUUGCUGGUUUUGUAUGUCUGAAGAUAGAUCAGCCAUGUAGCCACUGCCAGUUCCCAGCAAUGACUCUGUUCUUCUGAUGUUGAGCCUGCACAUUUACCAUCAGUUCCCUGUCUCAUCAGGCAGGCAGAGCUUCUUGCUGAGCCUACAAGCCUCUGGGGCUCUGGUUAGCAGAACUGACCACCCAAACGCAAUGAAGGACCCUCACUGCAGAAGAGCAGGGCUAUAGAAAUGUCAAAUAAAAAGAACUCCCCCCUAACCUGCUUUGCAUCAUAUUUGGUUUGCAAGAAGAGUCACCAUUUCCUCCAGCCCAUCCCAGGAAUUCCAGAUUUAGCACAACCCAUGUUUAGUGUGGCAGAGGCACCCUAUUUCUAAAACACGGGCUGAAAUAUACUUUACAAGACAGGGUUGCUGUUCUUCCCUUGCACUGUUCCCAAAACAUUUCAUACAUUGUUAGGGGUUGGGAAAGGAGACAAUGGGAAAACUACACAAGGAAAAACAUUCUGUGUUUCAGGGGAGAAAAUAAAAUGUGAACGGAACAA
This is a long non-coding RNA of Neopsephotus bourkii (Bourke's parrot), 843 nucleotides long. RefSeq lists it as uncharacterized. The record is from RefSeq and is a predicted model, not a curated record. The transcript is spliced from 3 exons. Lineage: Eukaryota; Metazoa; Chordata; Aves; Psittaciformes; Psittacidae.